CCAGGUUGAUUCUGCCUGACGUAGACGCUAUUCCCUAAGAUUAACCCAUGCAUGUUUUUGACAUUUGAAAAAUGGACUGCUCAGUAAUACUCACUUUAUUUUAUGUAAAUUUUUGAUUAAUUAACUACGUUAAAGUGUAGAUAAGAUGUUUACAGUAAGAGUGAGACCUAUCAGCUAGUUGUUAAGGUAAUGGCUUAACAAGGCUGUUACGGGUAACGGUAUUACUUUGUAAUAUUCCGGAGAAGGAGCCUGAGAGACGGCUACUAAGUCUAAGGAUUGCAGCAGGGGCGAAACUUGACCUAUGGAUUUUAUCUGAGGCAGUUAUGGGAAGUAAUAUUAUAUUGUUUCAUAUUUUAAAAGUAUAUGAGGUGAUUAAUUGGAGGGCAAAUCAAGUGCCAGCAGCCGCGGUAAUACUUGUUCCAAGAGUGUGUAUGAUGAUUGAUGCAGUUAAAAAGUCCGUAGUUUAUUUUUUAAGAAGCAAUAUGAGGUGUACUGUAUAGUUGGGAGAAAGAUGAAAUGUGACGACCCUGACUGGACGAACA
RNAcentral lists this ribosomal RNA (542 nucleotides) under Vairimorpha ceranae. RNAcentral describes it as "SSU rRNA". It matches the Rfam family "Microsporidia small subunit ribosomal RNA", at positions 1 to 594 of the family's 1311-position model. Lineage: Eukaryota; Fungi; Microsporidia; Nosematidae. The record is from RNAcentral.